CUACGGGCGGCUGCAGUGGGGAAUAUUGGACAAUGGGCGCAAGCCUGAUCCAGCAAUGCCGCGUGUGUGAAGAAGGCCUGCGGGUUGUAAAGCACUUUCAGUGGGGAGGAAGGGGUAAUGCCUAAUAAGUAUUAUCAUUGACGUUACCCGCAGAAGAAGCACCGGCUAACUCUGUGCCAGCAGCCGCGGUAAUACAGAGGGUGCGAGCGUUAAUCGGAAUUACUGGGCGUAAAGGGUGCGUAGGUGGCAUCGUAAGUCAGGCGUGAAAGCCCUGGGCUCAACCUGGGAAUUGCGUUUGAAACUACGAAGCUAGAGUGCAGUAGAGGGAAGUGGAAUUUCCAGUGUAGCGGUGAAAUGCGUAGAUAUUGGAAGGAACAUCAGUGGCGAAGGCGACUUCCUGGACUGUUACUGACACUGAGGCACGAAAGCGUGGGGAGCAAACAGGAUUAGAUACCCGAGUAGUC
This 464-nucleotide ribosomal RNA is filed under the name uncultured bacterium. Its description in RNAcentral is "partial 16S ribosomal RNA". It matches the Rfam family "Bacterial small subunit ribosomal RNA", at positions 339 to 795 of the family's 1533-position model. The record is from RNAcentral.